GAUUGAUGAACAUCAAUGUUUAUAUACCUUUAAAUUUCAUCCAAAGUCAUCUGAUUAAAAUUAAUAUCAACUCUAUAUAUUAUUGAAAUAAUUGUGGAAAACAUGAAAAGAUUCAUUUUUGUCCCUCUCAUCAUAAUAACUGCAAGGUGUUUAAAUAAAGGAUUGCUCCAAGUAUUGCAGAAAUAAUGAUCAACGUGAUUUUAAUUAUUUGAGUGGUAGCUUGAAAAAAAAAUUCAAUAGUUUGUCAAAAUAACUAGAAAUUUUCACCAAGCUAACAAAUAAUUCAUGAUUUUUUCUUGUAAAUUACUGUUACUCUUGACUUUUUAGAGAUUUUUUUAUCAUAUGAAUUGAUUUUAAAUUAAAUGAGUCGAUAGAUUUUAAUCUAAUUCUGAAUAUUGGCAACUUGAUGGGCAACUCGCACAUUUUGGUAACAUCGAAAGUAUCUGCAUUUUUGUUAUUCACCUUGACUACUGGAAAACAGGAUUGGUGCAAAAAUGGGAAAAAAUAAUGAAACAUUUGAAGCAUCCAAUGGAAAUAAAGUUCGAUUGAGGUGAUUAGUGCGUCAAAUGUUGGAAAUGAUUAGCUGGUGAUGAUUUGACAGCUGAUUUGUGCAAUUGUGUAUCAAUUUGCUGUGUUUUGAUUGUGCGAGCAGUUAGGUGAAGAAAAAAAGGUAAGAUUUAGAGGAUUUUCUCAAAGGCAAAAACCAACGAACAAAAAAGAUGGAGAAAAAAGGGAAAAAGAUUGGGAAGAUGAAGAAGAGAAGAAAAGAUUUAAGGGGCAAUGAAUGGAAGAUUUUUGAGGGGAAAGAAAGACAGACAAGGAGAAAGAAAAAUUAUUGAGAAAGAUGAAAAAAUGAGAAGAGAGACAGAAAAAGGAAGGAGAAGUUUGGAGCAUUGACUUGACUCAUCACCGGUCGUGAGUAUAAGUUCUUUUUGUCUUGUAUCCUUUGUGUGAUUCCUCAUCAUUUAUCAUCAUCAUUCUCAGAAACAGUAUUUUCAACCCUUAUCCGUUUCCUUUGUUGUCCAGUCUUUAAAUUUUUCUGUGAAACAAGUGAUUCUUUCCGGCAAUUCCAAGAAAAAAUGGAUCAAUCUUCGCUUAUCUCUGAGACAGUCAAAAAUAUCAUCAGUGAUGCAGUGGACAAGAUCAUUUUGGCAGAAGAAGCUGGAAAGUCCGUCAUUAGUAAUGGCCAGGAUAAAUGCAGGACCGAUGAAAAUGGUUUGGAAAA
Molecule: non-coding RNA, 1225 nt
Organism: Tetranychus urticae (two-spotted spider mite)
Lineage: Eukaryota; Metazoa; Arthropoda; Arachnida; Trombidiformes; Tetranychidae
Source: RefSeq, a predicted model, not a curated record